Non-coding RNA from Punica granatum (pomegranate), 2943 nucleotides. The record is from RefSeq and is a predicted model, not a curated record. NCBI's taxonomy places the organism in Eukaryota, Viridiplantae, Streptophyta, Magnoliopsida, Myrtales, Lythraceae.
ACCGGAGAUAGAGUUCUGUACAGUUUAAUUUAAAAGACCAAACAGAACUGAACCAUGCCUGCCUCUAUAAUGAGGCUCCUUCUAAGGAUUCCCCCUAUAGCACGAGGAUGAUUCAUGCCUUUUGCUUAGAAGUUAUAAUUACUUCGUGUACUUGAAAGCCUCUACAUUAAAUUUUUGAGGUUAUGAGUACCCAAAUACCUUAUCCUGUUUGUAAUCUCCGGCAAAUUUAGCUUUAGCAGUGUUUCUCAGAAACUAGCUAUUAAAUGUAUUGCUGCUCAAGUGGCGGCUGCAAACUGCAGAGCUCUGGGGGCUCGGACUAGUCUCUCGUACCGCACAGAUCCACGCCUCGCACCUUUCCUAAGUUAAACAAAAAGAGACCCGAAAAUGGUCUUUUUGGACAAGCAAGGAAGAAAGAUCGGGGAAAAGAGGACCAACUUUCUCUUUCCAUUACUUCAGUGCUCCGAAUGUCAGGAAGCCGGGACAGGAUUGAAGUCUCAACCUCUCUCGUUUGGCCUAGACAACAAUCUCUUCUGCAUUAGAUACUCGCAGCCGAUUAUCCUUUCCAUCGCUGCAAUUCUCAUUCAGGGAUUUCACGGUACUAAAACUGAUUCAAAUCAUAUCUCAAGAUUUUUCUUGCACUCAUUCUUUAGAUCAACGGACCUCAAAAGCGUGUGAAAGAACACUGAUCACUGAUCCGUCGUCUUGGUCCCAUCUCUUGUUUUAUCUGAAGCUGAAUACUGUUGUCUCCGACCAAGUCUGAAUUGAAACAAAUGCUUUACUUCACCAUCACAAAAAAACAGAGAAUGCGAAACGGACGCUUUCCUUCAUUGAUAUAUAGACAAUUCGGCUCUUCCAAUUUAUGUAUUGUGCAUAUUCGAUGCAUGUAGAUAAAUUUGGGUUCUUAAUUUUGUCCCAUUUUCUGAAUUUUCUUCUAUCUUUUUUUAUUAGAAUAUAUUUUGGAAUCUCUAAAAUCUACUUGCCUUGUAUUGUUGAUACUGUAUCAUGACACCUCGAUUGUAUCUAUGUAUAUCUAUAAAUACAAUAUACCAUGAUCCAAUUGGAUCAUUGAGUCAAUUAUAUACAUGGUAUCAGAGCCCUAGGGUUACAACUUCUCCCCCACAAACUCUGACCUUCCAGCCUCUCUUCCACCCUUCUGCCGGUCAAAAAUGGCGUUUGCUUCUCAAGCCUUCGGCACUGACAAUAGUCAAAUAAACCCAACCCUUGAUACCUCUGCUGAUUUCCCUCCAAUAACUCUACUGGUGUUCCCACCAAUGCCCCCAUUGAGGCUCUGCCUUCUCCCUUACUCGCCCAAAAUACUCUUCCUGCUGCUGCCAUAUCCACCAGAACCAUAACAGCUCCCAACAUAUCGAACCUUGUCCACAUCCAGCUUAAGGACUCUAACUGCAUGGUUUGGAAGACAUUAUUUUCUACUUUUCUCAGGUCUCAUGAUCUUCUUGGGUUCAUGGAUGGAAGUCCUCCCUGUCCUCCUGUCACCGACCCUCUCUUUGCUUCCUGGAGCCGGACAGAUGACAACAUAAAGUCAUGGCUCUUCUCCACCCUCUCGGAGCAAAUUUUGGAAGAAGUUCAUGACCCACCCACGGCUUAGCAAAUUUGGGACGGAUUACACAGUCGGUUCGUUGAAUGCUCCCAUUCUCGUGCUCUCGAUAUCAAGGUGGAGUUGACUCGCAUCAAACUGGAGGAUUUCAAGAAGGGAUAAUUGCGCCAUAGAGCGUAACGUUUGAAGGAAUUCGUAGUUCUAAUCCAAACUUGAUUUUUUUACCUGAGAUAUCCCAACGUUGACGUGUUGAUUUCACAUCUAGCCCGACGCUAACUUUCCAUCCAAAAUUGACGGAAUUGCACACGCGGCAUGUUAAUUUUGUAACGUUGCUUACAUGUGUUACAAAAUUGACGUGCCACGUGUGCAAUUCCGUUAAUUUUGGACGGAAAGUUAGUGUCGGGCUAGAUGUGAAACCAACACGUCAAUGUUGGGAUAUCUUAAGUAAAAAAUCAAGUUUGGACUAAAACCAAGAAUUCCUUCAAACAUGAGGUUGUAUGGCGCAAUUAACCAUUUCAAGAAUGUGGAAUCGUAUCCUUACCGUUGUAGACAGCUGGCCGAUCAACUCAAAGAGAUUGGUCGGGCUAUUGAUGACGAAGACCUCAUUACCUAUGCUCUCGCUGGACUCACUCCUCAAUAUGAGUCUUUUAUUACUUCCCUGAAUAAUGAUCGGGAUCCCCUCUCCGUUGUUGCCCUUCGUAACAAGUUAAUAUUCCACGAGAAUCGUCUUCAUUGGACAUACCUGCAGCUCCUGCUCCUGCCACUACAACACUACAGGUCACCACUCAAUUAGGUGGCCGAGGAGGAGGAGGCCGCAGAACUCAAAUGGGCGGUGGUCGCGGCUUUGGUCGCUUGAACCGAGGGGGUGGUCGUGGAAGAGGUCACUACAACAACAAUGGAGCUGGUCAUGGGUACCAUCAGUAGCAAGGUGCCCCUGGUCACUCACCUGGACGUGGGAACGGAGCUCAUGGAUAUGGAAACAAUCGUGGCGGUCAUGGCAGGAUUGUGUCUGGUCAUGGGCAACCAUCCACCUCACAAUAUUCGGUAAGGUCCUUUAACAGCUUUUACUGCUAAUAGUUCUUUAUUGCCUAUAAGUAACACUGGUUCCUUAACCAUUCCUACCUCUUCCAGACCACUUCAUCUUAAUGGGGUUCUUCGUGUUCUGUCCCUUGAUUUUAAUUUGGUUUCUAUACAUCGGCUAUGUAACGAUAACAAUUGUCAUGUGAUAUUCACUAAUUCUGGUUUUAUGGUUAAGGACAAUCUUUCGAGGAAGACACUAUUCAGCUGCCCCUUUAGUGGGCAUCUCUAUCCAAUCAAGUUAUCUCGACCAAUGGCUCUCUUUAAAUCAUUAUAAAGAGCAAAUGAAGUGAAAUGAUAAUCCAAUUUCU